AGGGGUAUAGCUCAGUUGGUAGAGUGGCGGUCUCCAAAACCGCAGGUCGUGGGUUCGAGUCCCUCUGCCCCUGCCA
This 76-nucleotide transfer RNA is filed under the name Hyphomonas sp. RNAcentral's name for it is "tRNA-Trp". It matches the Rfam family "tRNA". From Rfam's summary of the family: Transfer RNA (tRNA) molecules are approximately 80 nucleotides in length. Their secondary structure includes four short double-helical elements and three loops (D, anti-codon, and T loops). Lineage: Bacteria; Pseudomonadati; Pseudomonadota; Alphaproteobacteria; Hyphomonadales; Hyphomonadaceae. RNAcentral also lists the same sequence under 1 other name. The record is from RNAcentral.